UAAGAUGUCGGGAAUGUGUUAGACGAAUGAUUUUGUUUUAUGGAGCUUUGAAGAGCGAUGAAUGGCACUAAAGUGGUGCCAAAUGGAUAUCUCAAACACCCAUUGUUGAUGUGUGAUGCUGAUAAUACAGAGACAGCUAGAGUGACAGAGUUUGAUGAAUAAACUUAAAUUAAAAAACAGAAAUAACCACCAUCUCUCUCAGAGGUCAUCUUUCUCAUUAUUGUGGGGAAACCUCAAAGGGCAUCAGGAAAACCUUCAUCAACCUCUUUGUGCCCAGUGGCUUGUGCAACAGUGUUUCAGAAAUUAUCAUUAAAAUGGGGAUAAUGGAUGACUGGCCACACAUAUGGGGCUAUGGACAAGCUUCAGAGCAGGCUGCCAGGUGGUGGUGUUAGUAGUUUAUACUCCGGGUCCCGGCGUGAGCACAUUGAAGGGUCCCAGAGUGACAGUUCAACCACCGCACACCUAUCCUGGGCAGAACCAGUACUAGGUGCCUUCACCUCUGCAAGGAACUGACAGCUUCUGUACAUGCCAGGUGCAGUGGUACAGUGCGAAUGGUCGUAGAAAGGAUUUCAUAACCAAUCACAACAGAGGUGACCUGGUCUGCCCGGGAAUCGAACCCGGGAUGUCCAAUUCAGAGUCCAACGCUCUACCGAUUGAGCUGACCGGGCGGACAUAUUAGCUACAUUAGAUGACAAGCCAUCUAUGCUGGACAUUCUUCACAAUAAAAUGUGAUGUCACAGGAGCUGUCUAUCUCAACAGCUCACACUGUCCGUAUUUGACUAAAGGAAUGAAUGAAGUCACUGCAGAAGUUAGAUUGAGGAAUGUCCAUGUCACUACCCAUCAUUUGGAAGGAGUUGGAUAAAAAAAAGUGUGGCCUAUGUAUUGAAACAGGUCCGAUUUCCAGUUACGGACAGUCUUGAUUUGUCUGAUUAC
This is a long non-coding RNA of Mya arenaria, 933 nucleotides long. RefSeq lists it as uncharacterized. NCBI's taxonomy places the organism in Eukaryota, Metazoa, Mollusca, Bivalvia, Myida, Myidae. The transcript is spliced from 4 exons. The record is from RefSeq and is a predicted model, not a curated record.